RNAcentral lists this ribosomal RNA (274 nucleotides) under uncultured Pseudomonas sp. Its description in RNAcentral is "partial 16S ribosomal RNA". It matches the Rfam family "Bacterial small subunit ribosomal RNA", at positions 1109 to 1382 of the family's 1533-position model. The record is from RNAcentral. Lineage: Bacteria; Pseudomonadati; Pseudomonadota; Gammaproteobacteria; Pseudomonadales; Pseudomonadaceae.
CCUUAGUUACCAGCACGUUAUGGUGGGCACGUCUAAGGAGACUGCCGGUGACAACCGGAGGAAGGUGGGGAUGACGUCAAGUCAUCAUGGCCCUUACGGCCUGGGCUACACACGUGCUACAAUGGUCGGUACAAAGGGUUGCCAAGCCGCGAGGUGGAGCUAAUCCCAUAAAACCGAUCGUAGUCCGGAUCGCAGUCUGCAACUCGACUGCGUGAAGUCGGAAUCGCUAGUAAUCGUGAAUCAGAAUGUCACGGUGAAUACGUUCCCGGGCCUU